This is a long non-coding RNA of Chenopodium quinoa (quinoa), 1952 nucleotides long. RefSeq lists it as uncharacterized. The transcript is spliced from 4 exons. The record is from RefSeq and is a predicted model, not a curated record. NCBI's taxonomy places the organism in Eukaryota, Viridiplantae, Streptophyta, Magnoliopsida, Caryophyllales, Amaranthaceae.
UUAGAUGUUUUCGGGCGGGCUUGGGUUUUGGACUUAACAACACAUUUGCCGAAUACCCAAACCCAUUUUUUUUCCCAAUGGAUUAGACCGUGUCUUUAAGCCGAACCAUUUAUAAUCAGCUCUAAUCUCAACAGGGGAAAUAGUCUCCGAGGUUACCAUCCAACUAACAAAACAGAUUACAAAAUGGACGAAAUCAUUCAUUUUGACAAAAGGCAAAGAGAAUUACAAAUCACCCAAAUACAUUUUCACAAAACCAAACAACUAAUCUACAUUAAUCUUCCCUGCCCUCCUCUCUCGCCGCCGAAAUUAAUUGAAAAAGACAAAUUAUAAAAAAUAUACAAAUUGGUAACAUCAUCGAUAAAUACUAACUUUGUUUCAUAUUAUUUGCAACGAUUAGAUAUUUUUCCUCUCUACUUUAUGUCAAAUUGUUGCAAAUAAUAUAAAACUGAGGUAGUAUAUAAUGUUACUAUUCCAGAGGAUAAAUCUGAUGAUUCUUGGUGUUGCACCAUUACCGCCACCAGCCUCACCACUAUUGUUGCUUUAUCCGUCAUGUAUGCCGCCAUUGUACAUGACAGAAGCAGGGCAAGAGGGAUUUCAAAGAGAAAUGAUAAAAGAGACGAUUUGAUCGAAAACGAGUCGCUUGACAAGCUUCCUCUUAGCUGGGAUAACACUACUCAUCUUCUUAGGCAAAAGAAGGAAGGUAGCGAAACUGAGAUGUGAGAAUGAAACACUACUACAAUUUAACCCUUGUGCCACAAAUUUUGCCACAUUUUAUAUUUAUUCGUGGCAAAAUUUUACAUUGCCACGGGAAAACUCCUUUAAUCAUAAUAAUUAGUUUGAGGUAUAGUAUUUCUGCCACAUGAAAAAAAUUUCGUGGCAAACAUGUACUUUCUGCUACAAACACAGCCACAAUAAAUCUUGUUACGUGGCAAAUUGAAUCACCUAAAUUUUCACUUUAAGAAAAAAUUGCUUAUUAAAUUGUGCCAAAAUAAAAAUCUCCCGCUUGAUUAAAAAAAAGUCCACCACACCACUACGCGUCUUCAAUUUGGUCACAUUACAAAAAAUUAAAAGAUAUAAAAAUCUUUCUUACUCUCUAUCUUUCUCUCUCGUCUAAAAAAAUUACCCUAUUUCUCAAUCCCUCAAUGGCGAUUAUUGACAAUCAGUCCGUCUAAUGUUCAAGGCUUAUUCAAUCAUCAUUACUUUCGGUUUGAAUUGCUGUAGUGUUUUAUAAGUUUUGAUAAAUCUUUGGUCCGUAGAGAUCUGGAAAGCAUAUUCAAGAAAAAGAAACAUGGGAAGGAUUGCUCACGAGUUGACCUUCUAAUUGAGUCUCGUAAGAGGAAGUCAAAUAAAUAUGUUAAUUUGGAUACCUUAGCUAAUAACAUGAAUGUAGUGUCUGAGAUGAAAAAGUUAACAGAAGAAAGAGACCAAGGGCAUAAUAACCACACUGAUAAACAAAUUAUUGAGAAAGUACUUGGUAAAGAUACUCAUGGAUAUUUGCGUGCAUAUGGGCGAGGUAGAAGUAUUACAAAUCAUUUUGGUGUUAAGCCAUCAAAAAUUGUGAACCCUGUUGAAUCUUACUACAGAUCAUGAAGCUAGAGAUGAAUAUGAAGUUUUGCUUUUUUUUUUUUGUUUAUUAAUUAAUGUACCCAUGGAGGAUUGAAUUUAGCUUUUCUUUUUACAUAAUUUACUUCGCAGACAUUUUUUGUAAGCAAGUACUCAUGUUGACAUUACUUUAUUUAUUAAUGAAAUUUUAUUGUUUUAAUUGUAUUGAUUAUUUAUUUAUUUUGACGUAAGAAGCAUGAAUUACUCUACAUGACAAAUAUUUUACUAUAUAUACAACACGAAUUACUCUAAAUGAUAAAGCUUAGCCACGGGUAUAUCCUAAUUGCCACAUUUGUACUUGUAGCAAAGUAUCAAUAUUAGCCACGUAAAAACCGUGGCAAAAAAAUUGG